GACGAACGCUGGCGGCGUGCUUAACACAUGCAAGUCGAGCGGUAAGGCCCUUUCGGGGGUACACGAGCGGCGAACGGGUGAGUAACACGUGGGUGACCUGCCCUCAGCUCUGGGAUAAGCCUGGGAAACCGGGUCUAAUACUGGAUAUGACUCCAUGACGCAUGUUGUGGGGUGGAAAGCCUUGUGCGGCUGAGGAUGGGCCCGCGGCCUAUCAGCUUGUUGGUGGGGUGACGGCC
RNAcentral lists this ribosomal RNA (236 nucleotides) under uncultured bacterium. Its description in RNAcentral is "partial 16S ribosomal RNA". It matches the Rfam family "Bacterial small subunit ribosomal RNA", at positions 28 to 265 of the family's 1533-position model. The record is from RNAcentral.